Molecule: non-coding RNA, 844 nt
Filed under: Amolops indoburmanensis (Indoburman torrent frog)
Lineage: Eukaryota; Metazoa; Chordata; Amphibia; Anura; Ranidae
Description: partial 12S ribosomal RNA
Rfam family: Bacterial small subunit ribosomal RNA
Source: RNAcentral
GUCUCAGCACACCAGUGAGAAAGCCCUUUGCACCUCCACCAGAUAAAGGAGCCGGUAUUAGGCACAACCUAAAUUGCCCAUAACACCUAGUUUCACCACACCCCCAAGGGUAGUCAGCAGUGAUUAAACUUGCCUAUAAGCGACAGCUUGAUUCAGUCAAAGAGAAGAGAGCCGGCCAACUUGGUGCCAGCCGCCGCGGCUAAACCAGGGACUCAAAUUGAUAAUCAUCGGCGUCAAGCGUGAUUAGGGACAUUAAAGAUUAGGGUUAAAUUGAUACUCGGCAGUAUAUAAGCUUGUUAUUGAGAAAGCCACAAACCAAAGUUACCCUAACAUUCAACCUGAAUACACGACAGCUAAGAAACAAACUAGGAUUAGAUACCCUACUAUGCUUAGCCGUAAAAAAUUAACUUACAACAACCAACGCCAGGGAAUUACGAGCCACGCUUAAAACCCAAAGGACUUGGCGGUGCCCUAUCCGACUAGAGGAGCCUGUUCUGUAAUCGAUAACCCCCGCUACACCCAACCAUUUCUUGCUAAUCAGUCUGUAUACCUCCGUCGGAAGCCAACCAUGUGAACGCUACAGUAGGCUCAAUGAUGAUACAUCAGUACGUCAGGUCAAGGUGCAGCUUAUGAAAUGGAAGAAAUGGGCUACAAUUUCUAAUAUAGAACAAACGAAGAACCGUGUGAAACCAUGGUAUUGAAGGUGGAUUUAGUAGUAAGAAGAAAAUAGAGUGUUCUUCUUAAUAAGGCCAUAGAGCACGUACAUACCGCCCGUCACCCUCUUCAAUAGCCCUUAUAAAAGUUUAUAACCCUAUAUCUGCGCCUUAGAAGAGGUAAGUCGUAA